This 253-nucleotide ribosomal RNA is filed under the name uncultured prokaryote. RNAcentral's name for it is "partial 16S ribosomal RNA". It matches the Rfam family "Bacterial small subunit ribosomal RNA", at positions 525 to 777 of the family's 1533-position model. The record is from RNAcentral.
ACGUAGGGUGCGAGCGUUAAUCGGAAUUACUGGGCGUAAAGCGUGCGCAGGCGGUUCUCCAAGUCCGUUGUGAAAGCCCCGGGCUCAACCUGGGAAUGGCAGUGGAAACUAGGGGACUGGAAUCUGGCAGAGGGGGGUGGAAUGCCGCGUGUAGCAGUGAAAUGCGUAGAUAUGCGGAGGAACACCGAUGGCGAAGGCAAUCCCCUGGGCCUGCACUGACGCUCAUGCACGAAAGCGUGGGGAGCAAACAGGA